UACGGAGGAUGCGAGCGUUAUCCGGAUUUAUUGGGUUUAAAGGGUGCGUAGGCGGACUGUCAAGUCAGCGGUAAAAUUGAGAGGCUCAACCUCUUCUCGCCGUUGAAACUGGUGGUCUUGAGUGGAUGAGAGGUACGCGGAAUGCGUGGUGUAGCGGUGAAAUGCAUAGAUAUCACGCAGAACUCCGAUUGCGAAGGCAGCGUACCGGCAUCCAACUGACGCUGAGGCACGAAAGCGUGGGGAUCAAACAGG
Molecule: ribosomal RNA, 252 nt
Filed under: uncultured bacterium
Lineage: Bacteria
Description: partial 16S ribosomal RNA
Rfam family: Bacterial small subunit ribosomal RNA
Source: RNAcentral